GACGAACCGAGCGAACGUUAUUCGGAAUCACUGGGCUUAAAGGGUGCGUAGGCGGGCGAUCAAGUCAGGGGUGAAAGCCUCCAGCUCAACUGGAGAAGUGCCUUUGAUACUGGUCGUCUUGAGGGAGGUAGGGGCGUGCGGAACUUCCGGUGGAGCGGUGAAAUGCGUAGAUAUCGGAAGGAACACCAGUGGCGAAAGCGGCGCGCUGGACCUCUUCUGACGCUGAGGCACGAAAGCCAGGGGAGCAAACGGG
This 253-nucleotide ribosomal RNA is filed under the name uncultured bacterium. RNAcentral's name for it is "partial 16S ribosomal RNA". It matches the Rfam family "Bacterial small subunit ribosomal RNA", at positions 524 to 776 of the family's 1533-position model. The record is from RNAcentral.